This 228-nucleotide ribosomal RNA is filed under the name uncultured bacterium. RNAcentral's name for it is "partial 16S ribosomal RNA". It matches the Rfam family "Bacterial small subunit ribosomal RNA", at positions 524 to 753 of the family's 1533-position model. The record is from RNAcentral.
UACGAAGGGGCUAGCGUUGCUCGGAAUACUGGGCGUAAAGCGCACGUAGGCGGAUUGUUAAGUCGGGGGUGAAAUCCUGGAGCUCAACUCCAGAACUGCCUUCGAUACUGGCGAUCUCGAGUUCGGGAGAGGUGAGUGGAACUGCGAGUGUAGAGGUGAAAUUCGUAGAUAUCGCAAGAACACCAGUGGCGAAGGCGGCUCACUGGCCCGGAUACUGACGCUGAGGUG